CCUACGGAGGCAGCAGUGGGGAAUAUUGGACAAUGGGCGAAAGCCUGAUCCAGCAAUGCCGCGUGAGUGAUGAAGGCCCUAGGGUUGUAAAGCUCUUUUACCCGGGACGAUAAUGACUGUACCGGGAGAAUAAGCCCCGGCUAACUCCGUGCCAGCAGCCGCGGUAAUA
Molecule: ribosomal RNA, 169 nt
Filed under: uncultured Sphingomonas sp.
Lineage: Bacteria; Pseudomonadati; Pseudomonadota; Alphaproteobacteria; Sphingomonadales; Sphingomonadaceae
Description: partial 16S ribosomal RNA
Rfam family: Bacterial small subunit ribosomal RNA
Source: RNAcentral